GACGAACGCUGGCGGCGUGCUUAACACAUGCAAGUCGAACGGUGAAGCGCCUUCCUUUUUGGUGGGUGUGGAUGAGUGGCGAACGGGUGAGUAACACGUGAGUAACCUGCCCCCUUCUUCUGGAUAACCGCAUGAAAGUGUGGCUAAUACGGGAUAUUCUGGGUCUGUCGCAUGAUGGGUCUGGGAAAGAUAUUGUUUCGGUGGGGGAUGGGCUCGCGGCCUAUCAGCUUGUUGGUGGGGUGAUGGCCUACCAAGGCGGUGACGGGUAGCCGGCCUGAGAGGGUGUACGGUCACACGGGGACUGAGACACGGCCCAGACUCCGAAGGGAGGCAGCAGUGGGGAAUAUUGGACAAUGGGCGAAAGCCUGAUGCAGCGACGCCGCGUGAGGGAUGGAGGCCUUCGGGUUGUGAACCUCUUUCGCCAGUGAAGCAGGCCUGCCUCGUUUGUGGGUGGGUUGACGGUAGCUGGAGAAGAAGCGCCGGCUAACUACGUG
Molecule: ribosomal RNA, 494 nt
Filed under: uncultured bacterium
Lineage: Bacteria
Description: partial 16S ribosomal RNA
Rfam family: Bacterial small subunit ribosomal RNA
Source: RNAcentral